CCUACGGGUGGCAGCAGUGGGGAAUAUUGGGCAAUGGGCGCAAGCCUGACCCAGCAACGCCGCGUGAAGGAAGAAGGCUUUCGGGGUGUAAACUUCUUUUAAGAGGGAAGAGCAGAAGACGGUACCUCUUGAAUAAGCCACGGCUAACUACGUGCCAGCAGCCGCGGUAAUACGUAGGUGGCAAGCGUUGUCCGGAUUUACUGGGUGUAAAGGGCGUGCAGCCGGGAAGACAAGGCAGAUGUGAAAUCCCGGGGCUCAACCGCGGAACUGCCUUUGAAACUGUUUUUCUUGAGUACCGGAGAGGUCAUCGGAAUUCCUUGUGUAGCGGUGAAAUGCGUAGAUAUAAGGAAGAACACCAGUGGCGAAGGCGGAUGACUGGACGGCAACUGACGGUGAGGCGCGAAAGCGUGGGGAGCAAACAGGAUUAGAUACCCGAGUAGUC
Molecule: ribosomal RNA, 442 nt
Filed under: uncultured bacterium
Lineage: Bacteria
Description: partial 16S ribosomal RNA
Rfam family: Bacterial small subunit ribosomal RNA
Source: RNAcentral